RNAcentral lists this ribosomal RNA (453 nucleotides) under uncultured bacterium. Its description in RNAcentral is "bacterial SSU rRNA". It matches the Rfam family "Bacterial small subunit ribosomal RNA", at positions 29 to 507 of the family's 1533-position model. The record is from RNAcentral.
AACGAACGCUGGCGGCAGGCCUAACACAUGCAAGUCGAGCGAACCCUUCGGGGUUAGCGGCGGACGGGUUAGUAACGCGUGGGAAUAUACCCUUUGGUACGGAAUAGCCUCGGGAAACUGAGAGUAAUACCGUAUGUGCCCUUCGGGGGAAAGAUUUAUCGCCAAAGGAUUAGCCCGCGUUGGAUUAGCUAGUUGGUGAGGUAACGGCCCACCAAGGCGACGAUCGAUAGCUGGUCUGAGAGGAUGGUCAGCCACACUGGGACUGAGACACGGCCCAGACUCCUACGGGAGGCAGCAGUGGGGAAUAUUGGACAAUGGGGGAAACCCUGAUCCAGCAAUGCCGCGUGCGUGAAGAAGGCCCUAUGGGUUGUAAACUACUUUUAUUAGGGAAGAAAAACUUUGAUUUAUCAGAGCUUGACGGUACCUAAGGAAUAAGCACCGGCUAACUCCGUG